AGUGAACGCUGGCGGUAGGCCUAACACAUGCAAGUCGAACGGCAGCACAGUAAGAGCUUGCUCUUACGGGUGGCGAGUGGCGGACGGGUGAGGAAUACAUCGGAAUCUACUUUUUCGUGGGGGAUAACGUAGGGAAACUUACGCUAAUACCGCAUACGACCUAUGGGUGAAAGCAGGGGAUCUUCGGACCUUGCGCGAUUGAAUGAGCCGAUGUCGGAUUAGCUAGUUGGCGGGGUAAAGGCCCACCAAGCCGACGAUCCGUAGCUGGUCUGAGAGGAUGAUCAGCCACACUGGAACUGAGACACGGUCCAGACCCCUACGGGAGGCAGCAGUGGGGAAUAUUGGACAAUGGGCGCAAGCCUGAUCCAGCCAUACCGCGUGGGUGAAGAAGGCCUUCGGGUUGUAAAGCCCUUUUGUUGGGAAAGAAAAGCAGCAGGUUAAUACCCCGCUGUUCUGACGGUACCCAAAGAAUAAGCACCGGCUAACUUCGUG
Molecule: ribosomal RNA, 492 nt
Filed under: uncultured bacterium
Lineage: Bacteria
Description: partial 16S ribosomal RNA
Rfam family: Bacterial small subunit ribosomal RNA
Source: RNAcentral